UCCCUGUGAAGUACUUCCUCUAGUUCUUCUUCUCAACCUUAAGAGUUGUCAAAGUUGUCUGUUUGCUGCAUUAUGUAAGUUUUUUCUGGAACACAUCAUGGUGAUAUAUGGCCAGUUUUGAGUAUAUCUUCCAAAUAACUGAAAGCAUCACUCUCAUCAGGAUCUUUGUACCAAAUAAUGUUGUAUGAAAAAGAAAAAAACA
This 202-nucleotide long non-coding RNA is filed under the name Hordeum vulgare. RNAcentral describes it as "long non-coding RNA (HVUL_LNC010905)". Lineage: Eukaryota; Viridiplantae; Streptophyta; Magnoliopsida; Poales; Poaceae. The record is from RNAcentral.